Molecule: ribosomal RNA, 901 nt
Filed under: uncultured archaeon
Lineage: Archaea
Description: bacterial SSU rRNA
Rfam family: Archaeal small subunit ribosomal RNA
Source: RNAcentral
CUCCGGUUGAUCCUGCCGGACCCGACUGCUAUCGGAAUGGGAUUUAGCCAUGUUAAUCAUGCGUUCCUCGAGUGCGGGGGACGCGGUGUACGGCUCAGUAACACGUAGUCAACCUACCCUAGAGACGCGGACAAACCCGGGAAACUGGGGCUAAUACGCGAUAGGUCAUAUCAUCUGGAAAGAGAUAUGGCCCAAAAGGAUGGUGCGGGCUUCUUCCGCAUCAUUCGCUCCAGGAUGGGACUGCGGCCGAUCAGGCUGUUGGCGGGGUAAUGGCCCACCAAACCUGUAACCGGUACGGGCUUUGAGAGAAGGAGCCCGGAGAUGGACACUGAGACAAGGGUCCAGGCCCUACGGGGCGCAUCAGGCGCGAAAACUUCGCAAUGUGCGAAAGCACGACUAGGUUAAUCCGAGUGAUUUCUGUUGAAGAAAUCUUUUGUCAGUCAUAAAACCACAGACGAAUAAGGGGUGGGCAAGUCUGGUGUCAGCCGCCGCGGUAAUACCAGCACCUCGAGUGGUCAGGAGGUUUAUUGGGCCUAAAGCAUCCGUAGCCGGCUACGCAAGUCUCCGGUUAAAUCCAGCUGCUCAACAGAUGGGCUGCCGGAGAUACUACAUAGCUAGGGAGCGGGAGAGGCAGACGGUAUUCUGUGGGUAGGGGUAAAAUCCUUUGAUCCAUAGAGGACCACCAGUGGCGAAGGCGGUCUGCCAGAACGCGUUCGACGGUGAGGGAUGAAAGCUGGGGGAGCAAACCGGAUUAGAUACCCGGGUAGUCCCAGCUGUAAACGAUGCAAACUCGGUGAUGCAUUGGCUUAUGGCCAAUGCAGUGCCGCAGGGAAGCCGUUAAGUUUGCCGCCUGGGAAGUACGGACGCAAGUCUGAAACUUAAAGGAAUUGGCGGGGGAGCA